UCGUCGAAGGUGGGCCAUAAUGUUUCCCACAUCAUCGACACAAGACGGGAAGAGAUAAUGUUGUGAAUUUAAGAUUUAUGAACUUCAGACAGAGGUGGUUUCUUUCAGAGGUCAACUUCUCUUGAACAUAUCGGCGGCACGACAGUGGAGUUGGCAGUAUUUGACAUCAAUGGAUCAAAGGUCAUGAUGACGAGGCAAUGAGCAGAUGAGAGGUCAAAUAGGAUUACCCAAACACACGGAGGCAAGUGAAAAAUGAGAUGAGAUAUCCCCACCCCGACACGAAAGCAGAGAAGUGCCAUGUUCAAGAGCGACAUACUGCCGACACGACAAUAAUUAUGGUUCCCAAAAUUUUCUUUUUUCCCCCACCAUUUCUGGUGAGUACCCCAAUUAUUUUUAACAAGCUUGAUGGGGAUAGCAUAUGCGUGUGGUAUAAGUUCGACGUUCGGCCGAAUCCAACCUAGUAAUAGUUUAACGAGCCCUAGGGAGGAGAAGCUCGAGUCUCGUCAUAGUGACGAGUCCAAUGUCUUCAGGGUUUAACGAGUCCGACACAGGUAAAACUCGGAGUCUUUUUCAUGUUUAGGGAGUUUGAAAAAGACACAGAAAAGGAAACUCCAGGGAUGUCCUUUUUUGUGAAGUUGUGUCUCUCGAGCCCGAAAAAGUAUAAAAUAAUGCCCGAAAGAACCGCCCGAUCAUUACGACCGAGGAGUACUUUUCAUAAAUAGUGAUUUCGACCUGAAAAAGUAGAAAAGCGAUCAAAACCACGUUGUUUCGUAACCAUUAACGAGUUUGAAACGACAAAAACCCGGUAAUCUUUUAUAUUUUAAUGGUCGAUAAAAGAACUUAAAACGACCGCCCCUUAGUAACGUUUAACGAGCCAAGAGGGAUAACUCGGCAAUAUUUUCCCCUUUAAAAGGUCAGGGAAAGAACUGGUAAAUCCCCUCUACGGACAGAGGCGAUCCCACUAGCCCAACACGGGUCUAGCAACAAUCACACAACGCUAACACGCAGGUUCCUAAUUGCAAAUCAGAGAUCAAUGAUGAUGGUCUACCUGGACUCCAACGCUAGUAGUUGUAGAAGACUCGACUAGGUGCAGCUGGAAGAGCACCGCACGUCUUGCGGUGUCCGGUGCGCCCGCGGCGGCCCUUGAAAAUCUGGAGGACCGAGUACCGUUCAUGCCCGGUCGUACUCAUAACCGCAUCAGGUCUCCAAGGUGAACAGCCUCUGGUCAAUAGAACAAUGUAGGUAAGGAAAGUCGGCAAAACGGAUCCGUAACUUCGGGAAAAGGAUUGGCUCUGAGGGCUGGGCCUAGGGGUCUGCGCCCUCAACUCGUGGGCUGUCGGCAGUCUGCCCGAGCUGCUCUCGCGGCGAGGGCGGGCAGUCGUGUGCCGAUUGGGCUACGGGCGUAGAAUGCCCCCUGCCGGGGGCUUUUCCCUAGGCGUCGAACAGUCGACUCAGAACUGGUACGGACAAGGGGAAUCUGACUGUUUAAUUAAAACAAAUCAUUGUGAUGGUCCCUGCGGAUGUUGACGCAAUGUGAUUUCUGCCCAGUGCUCUAAAUGUCAAAGUGAAUAAAUUAAACCAAGCACGGGUAAACGACGGGAGUAACUAUGACUCUCUUAAGGUAGCCAAAUGCCUCAUCAUCUAAUUAGUGACGCACAUGAAUGGAUUAACGAGAUUCCCACUGUCCCUAUCUACUAUCUAGCGAAACCAUAGCCAAGGGAACGGGCUUGGUAGAAUCAGCGGGGAAAGAAGACCCUGUUGAGCUUGACUCUAGUCCGACUUUGUGAAAUGACUUGAGAGGUGUAGAAUAAGUGGGAGCUGAUUUCGGCGCAAGUGAAAUACCACUACUUUUAAUGUUAUUUUACUUAUUCCGUGGGGCAGAGAGGGGGCACUGCCCCUGUUUUUGGCCUUAAGGCACGUUUCGGCGGGUCGAUCCGGGCGGAAGACAUUGUCAGGUG
RNAcentral lists this ribosomal RNA (1958 nucleotides) under Pinus taeda (loblolly pine). RNAcentral describes it as "eukaryotic LSU rRNA". The stretch from base 706 to 1958 matches the Rfam family "Eukaryotic large subunit ribosomal RNA", at positions 1 to 2614 of the family's 3401-position model. The record is from RNAcentral. Lineage: Eukaryota; Viridiplantae; Streptophyta; Pinopsida; Pinales; Pinaceae.